GUGCAUUUUGCUGAAACCUUAGUUAAACCGUCUGUUUGAGAUGGGUUUGACCACACGACUCUAAAUAAGGAUGGUCGCCUGGACUUGGAGCCCGUGAACGGCCCAGCCGGGAUGCUAGCCAGCGAUCGUCGCUGGUGACACCUUUAGUCUGCGGGAACAUUCGUAGAACAACCUGCAGCCGUAUCUGUUUUUCCACUGUUAAAACAGGAUUAACUGACCGGCACACAGACUAAAUAACGGUGGACGUUGUGAUCGAUAUUGCGGCGUUUCAGACAUAGUCGCGCUCCCUGGAAAUCUCUCCGGGGACAAUCGCUCCGGCGAUGAGACCACGUUCCGUAGGUGAACCUGCGGAAGGAUCAUUA
This 362-nucleotide ribosomal RNA is filed under the name Anthracothecium prasinum. RNAcentral's name for it is "partial small subunit ribosomal RNA". The record is from RNAcentral. Lineage: Eukaryota; Fungi; Ascomycota; Eurotiomycetes; Pyrenulales; Pyrenulaceae.